RNAcentral lists this signal recognition particle RNA (303 nucleotides) under Carlito syrichta (Philippine tarsier). Its description in RNAcentral is "Metazoan signal recognition particle RNA (ENSTSYG00000030342.1)". It matches the Rfam family "Metazoan signal recognition particle RNA". From Rfam's summary of the family: The signal recognition particle (SRP) is a universally conserved ribonucleoprotein. Lineage: Eukaryota; Metazoa; Chordata; Mammalia; Primates; Tarsiidae. The record is from RNAcentral.
GCUGGGCACAGUGGUACACACUUGUAGUCCCACUUACUUGAGAGACUGAGGUGGGAGGAUCACUUGAGCCCAGAAGUUCCAGGCAAUCUUGCACUAUGUCAAUCAGGUGUCUGCACUAAGUAUAGCAUAAAUAUAGUGACCUCCUGGGAAUAGGGGACCAUCAUGUUGCCUAAGAAGAGGCAAAAUGACCGACCCUAGUCAGAAACAGAGCAGAUCGAAAUGCCCAUGCUGAUUAGCAGUGGGGCUGUACCUGUGAAUAGCCACUGCACUCUAGCUUGGGCAACAUAGCAAGACCUCAUCUCU